GCAGGGGGGACCAGCUAAUACAUGCAAGUCGAGCGGACAGAUGGGAGCUUGCUCCCUGAUGUUAGCGGCGGACGGGUGAGUAACACGUGGGUAACCUGCCUGUAAGACUGGGAUAACUCCGGGAAACCGGGGCUAAUACCGGAUGGUUGUUUGAACCGCAUGGUUCAAACAUAAAAGGUGGCUUCGGCUACCACUUACAGAUGGACCCGCGGCGCAUUAGCUAGUUGGUGAGGUAACGGCUCACCAAGGCAACGAUGCGUAGCCGACCUGAGAGGGUGAUCGGCCACACUGGGACUGAGACACGGCCCAGACUCCUACGGGAGGCAGCAGUAGGGAAUCUUCCGCAAUGGACGAAAGUCUGACGGAGCAACGCCGCGUGAGUGAUGAAGGUUUUCGGAUCGUAAAGCUCUGUUGUUAGGGAAGAACAAGUACCGUUCGAAUAGGGCGGUACCUUGACGGUACCUAACCAGAAAGCCACGGCUAACUACGUGCCAGCAGCCGCGGUAAUACGUAGGUGGCAAGCGUUGUCCGGAAUUAUUGGGCGUAAAGGGCUCGCAGGCGGUUUCUUAAGUCUGAUGUGAAAGCCCCCGGCUCAACCGGGGAGGGUCAUUGGAAACUGGGGAACUUGAGUGCAGAAGAGGAGAGUGGAAUUCCACGUGUAGCGGUGAAAUGCGUAGAGAUGUGGAGGAACACCAGUGGCGAAGGCGACUCUCUGGUCUGUAACUGACGCUGAGGAGCGAAAGCGUGAGGAGCGAACAGGAUUAGAUACCCUGGUAGUCCACGCCGUAAACGAUGAGUGCUAAGUGUUAGGGGGUUUCCGCCCCUUAGUGCUGCAGCUAACGCAUUAAGCACUCCGCCUGGGGAGUACGGUCGCAAGACUGAAACUCAAAGGAAUUGACGGGGGCCCGCACAAGCGGUGGAGCAUGUGGU
RNAcentral lists this ribosomal RNA (930 nucleotides) under Bacillus sp. (in: firmicutes). Its description in RNAcentral is "bacterial SSU rRNA". It matches the Rfam family "Bacterial small subunit ribosomal RNA", at positions 35 to 945 of the family's 1533-position model. The record is from RNAcentral. Lineage: Bacteria; Bacillati; Bacillota; Bacilli; Caryophanales; Bacillaceae.